UAACACUUCAAAGGUAUCGAG
Molecule: non-coding RNA, 21 nt
Filed under: Rattus norvegicus (Norway rat)
Lineage: Eukaryota; Metazoa; Chordata; Mammalia; Rodentia; Muridae
Source: RNAcentral